CAACCACGAGACGAAGUGAGUGGGUCAUGGUCGAUGCUUAAUUGUGCGACUAGACCCAGAAAAGUCCCCGGGCCCAUUACUGUAGAGUGCAGCUCGGAAAUGUGUGAUCUUCGAGUCGAAGGGGUUAACAUGCGCUUGUGCAAGUGGGCUGAGACAUGCGUGGAGCCUUUAUUAACCCCUUCGCCGAAGCAAAUUGGCCAAUUCAACACAGUUAUUCACUUGGUCCCUUGUGGAUUAACAGAACGGGGCUUACGAUCUCGUGGUU
This 265-nucleotide RNase MRP RNA is filed under the name Corchorus olitorius. RNAcentral describes it as "RNase MRP". It matches the Rfam family "RNase MRP". From Rfam's summary of the family: RNase MRP is an enzymatically active ribonucleoprotein with two distinct roles in eukaryotes. In mitochondria it plays a direct role in the initiation of mitochondrial DNA replication. Lineage: Eukaryota; Viridiplantae; Streptophyta; Magnoliopsida; Malvales; Malvaceae. The record is from Rfam by way of RNAcentral.